UAAUGACACACCCCGUCCCGAAGGAGGGCAUGCUGGCCGUCACGUGAGAGUGACGUAACCAUUUGCACAGUACGGAAGCUUUAAUUAUACAAUUUAUAAGUUGAUACACCCGAAGGUGAGUCCUAAUUUUGUCCAAUCUGUCAGAACACCGUCGAAUUCCUCGUAGUCACCACACCUUUGUGAUUCCUGAACCUGGAGGGGCGCAAAACCAAAAUUGAGUGGGUUAGUAAAACAAUUCUUUUCCAAAUCCAAACAUUUUUCAAAACGUUGUAACCCCUCUCCGUAAAACCUGUAUAUUUUCCCAGAAAUGUAAAAUAUAAAUAUACAUAUAUAUUCUCAAGACUUCAAGUCGUUAACUCAACAUUUUCAUAACAAUUAUGCCAUGCCACAUCAUCUCAACAUUUCUCAUAUUAAUUAUGCCAUGCCACAUCAUCUCAACAGUAAUAAGGUAUGAAUGCAUCAACAUAAUCAUAUCAGGUGCAAGAAAGUAAUCAACCGUAGGCCCUCUAAUAGCCCUGUACGGUUGAACCUAGAGCUCAAAAUCUAUCAUUAUCACUCUACCGGAGUCACCUCUGUGACCCGUCCGGCCUUCUGCACACAAGUUACGCUCUAGUGCUUCUCAUAAAUCAUCUGUGCACAUAAUCUAAGGUCACCCACCAGUCGGAAUCUCACUAACACUCUCGCGACUGGUCUGUCGUACCCACUCCGCGUGGACUGUACGACUAGCAUCUACUUGGAUCCAAGGCGAGCGUGCGAUGCGGUGAAUACUAUAAGCACUAAACCAUGGUGCAGGAUUUGAGCUCAAUAUAUAUCAUCAUCAUCAUAACAGUAAUUAAAUACUCAUUUGUGCGUCCACCGCACCAUUUCAUACAUAUGCAUCAUAAAUCAAUUCUUACCUGUGCGUCCACCGCACCAAUUCAUACAUAUGCAUCAUAUAUUAAUUCAUGCAUGGCAUUUCAACUCACAUUUCUAUAUACUUUUCAUAUCAAUUCUAUGCAUGGUAUUUCACUUCCCGUUUUUCCACAUAACUCAUAUGCAUUUCAUUUUAAACAUAUUUUCAUUUCAAUUCAAUUUCUGGGAAACGUCAAGUAUAUAUAUAUAUACGGAAAACAAAACUGCCCACUCACCUGGAGUUCGCCCUACAACUCCCUAGCACAAUACGCCAAGGCGUCAUGACGAUCGCCGCCUAGAAUAGUAAUCAAAUCCAGGCUCAGAAUUCAUAUCGAUAGAAUACAUAACUUAUAUAAAAUACGUCACUACGUUGAUCGAUCCGGAAGAUCUGCCACUCAGAUUUUAAAUCCAUAACUUCCAGAGGUCCACAUUAUACCUCUAGGACAACAUCCUAAAAUUUCAUUACCAUCCAACGGUCGGAUCUCCGUCAAUUUCCAAAACUAAGUGACGGUUAACAUUUUAUAUUAUGGACUUACAAUUCCAAUUCCGGAAGAUCCCUAACUCGGAUUCCCAAUCCGUAAGUUCCAAUAAUCCUCAAAUAUUACGUAUUACAACGUAUCAAAUUUUGGUGACGAUCCAACGGUCGGAUCAUCAAUUCACAUUUUCACCCAAAACUAUAAAACGUUAUUCGAACACCUAACCAACAAUCCUUAAUAACUUUCUCAUACGGUGCUCAAAUUGGGUAUAUGAAUAUACCACAGUGAUCUACUCGACGUCACGGACGUCGACAUAUUUUUAAAAUAAUUUUAUUUUUAUUUUUUAUUUUACUGUAGCACCAUCUUCUUCCUUGGGUCGCCGGACUGGUUUUUCCGGCGGCUGUUUUCCGGGCGGUUUUUCAAAUUGCCAUAACUUUGUCAUUUCUCAACGAAAUCAAGUGAUUCAAAAACGAAAGUUGUAGCCCUUGAAGAGACAAAGAGAAUGGUACCUUACACAACACCUAGUUCGCCGUGGUUUGGCCGGAAACUGCCUCGAAAGCCUCGGAGGUCGCCGGAAACUGGGUAUUUUUCAAAUGAGUAUAACUUCUUCAAUACUCAACGAAAUUGAGUGAAACAAAAAGGAAAGUUGUAGUACUUGACGAGACGAAGAGAUUGAUACCUACCUCGACUCCUAACUCGCCGGUGAUUCGCCGGAAAAUGCCUCGAAAGUUCCGGCCAAACUUUGAACUUGUCGAUCUCCGUGUUCUUACGUCCAAAAACUUCCAACGAAGCACUCCGAGCUUCGUGGGAACCUCCUAGAGCUCCCUAUGAUCUUAGUUUGGCCUAAAAAUCAACAAAUACAAAGUUCAUGAAUAGUGUCAUUUCACGGGCUUGAGUUUUCUACGUGAAAUCGUGGGAAACCUUACCUGAAAACAAUACCAAUGUGUUCGUAUGGUCCUCACGAACAUGAUGGUACCUUCCUCAUCCUGAAACUGUGAAGUUUUCGAGAGCCUUGGUGUUUGUCCGAGAGUUUGAGAGAGAAUGAGGGAGUGUGAGAGUGACUGAGGGAGAGAUGAGGAAGAGAGAGAGAAGGAGACAACAAAACGGGAAAUGGGGAAGGAUUUCAGAAGGUAGGACCCUACAUAAAGUCCAAAUACAAAAUAUUAACACAUACAAUAAUAAAUCUAACCCUAGUUUAGGAUGUUUUUAGGUAAAACAAAUACCAAAUUUACGCACCUUAAUCUCGUUUAAGGGCGUUUCUGUAAUUUCACGUCCUCGGAGUUUAUAAUUCCGGGACGGGCUGUGACAAUCUCCCCUCCUUAUAGAAUUUCGUCCCCGAAAUUCUAGCCACCAACCAACCCAUCAAAACUCAUAAAAUAGCCUCGGAUACAUACCUCUCAUCCGUUCUUCCGUCUCCCAAGUAGUUUCUUCCGCUGAAUGGUUCAUCCACAAUACUUUUACCACUUACUCUGUCUUAAUUCUCAGGACCUUCUUUUUCCAAUCCAAAGUCAUCCUUGGUUCCUUAUCAAGUCGAAUCCAAUUUAAUUCUCAAUAGUUGCACCAGAAUUCCAUGAGACGACUCUGCCACCUAGUGACAACGCAUCGAACACAAAAUACAUUAUGUGCCUUAGCCAAUUCUGAAGGCAUCACAAACUUGUAUGCAACUUCAUCGAUUCUUUUAAUGAUCAAAACGGUCUGAUGUGUUUAAAUCUUAUCUUGUCUACUUUCCAAAUCUUACUAUUUCUUUUCAUGAAGAAAUUUCCAAAAAUAUAAAAUCAUCUACGUUAUACACUCGAUUAGUGGCAUACCCAUCUGUUAAUCUCUUUUGUCAUUCCUGGCUACUUUCAGGUUAACUUACUCACCUGAAUAUUUUGAGGAGACUCAUCCAUAGUCUCAGGGCCCGCAAGAACUCUUUUGUCAACUUCUGUCCAACACAAAGGUGUACUAUAAGGUAAUUUGGUAACCAAGCUUCUUGUACGCUAUCCAAAACUUAGAAGUAACCAACAUACCCAAAAACUUAACAUUGUAUAUCGUCAAAAUUGCUUUCUUUAAUUCCACAUAAUUUGGCACAUACGUCCCAUUCUCUUGCAUAAACAUACCAUCCAAUUCUGCCUCGGUUAAUUCUUGAAUUCCUUCGUCAAGCAUUUGAGUCUUGAGUACGACCUUACCAAAUAGGCCUAACUUGAAAUUUAACAAGUAUAACUUCUUCUCGAUCUUCCAUUCUUAAUUUUUCUUCCGUUGGUUUUCAAUCCACAAGAUGAUACUCUUGGCAAACGUGCCAGACAUUAAUCUUACUGUAGUCUUCUCACCAAAUGCUUCAGCUAGAACAAACUUUACGAUCACCCUGAUCGUACAAUCAUGUUCAUUAAGCAAUACAAUUCACCUUUGCUGCCUCAUAUCAAAAUCCUUCCGAGUAAACAAAUAUUGGAGACUCUUUUGAUUUGUAAAAUCUUGCAUUCUUAUCAACAUAUAAUGUCUCCAUAACUUCACAGCAAGGAUGAUAAUCGUGACUUCCAAAUCACCAGUAGGGUAAUUCAUCUCAUGAGAUUCCAUUUGUCGUGAAACGUAUGCAAUCACCCUAACAUUUGCAUCAACAUGCAUCCAAUACCAUUCAAGAAACAUCACUAAAAAUUUAUGAUUACCACUAUUCUCUGGGAUUACUAAAAUACGUGCAUGAGUGAGGAAAUACUUCAGUUGUUGAAUCAUUUGCUCACAAUUUCCUUCCCACUCAUACAUAACCUCUUUUCUCAACCGUCUCGUCAAUGACAAAGCAAUGACUGAAAAAUCUUUCACAACCAUUCAAGAUAGCCUGGUAAGCUAAGAAAUUCCGAAUCUCAAUUACAGUUCGUGGUUGUUCCAAUUCCUCAAUUUCUGCUAUCUUUUAAGGAUUCACUUGAAUACCUUAAGCAGACAUAACAAAUUUUAGAAUGCCACUUGAUCCAUUUAACUUUAGCUUUUGCUAAACUUAGCAUACAACCAACGUUCUCUCAAUCUUUGCUUCACCGACUUAAUACGUUUACAUGCUCUGCUCUGGCUCAGAAUAUGCCAGAAUAUCUUCAAUGAAAAUGAUAUCUAUUUAUCAAGGCAUUAUUGGAAUACAUCAUUCAUCAACUCAUAAAACAGCAUGAGUAUCCAUAUAGCAUCACCAAACUUCAUAAAGACUAUAACGAGUCCAGAAAAACAAUCUUAGGAACAACGUUACUCAUAAUCUUCAAUUGGUAGUAACCAGAUCUCAAUUCAAUCUUUGAAUCUUCGCAAUUACUUAUGAGCUGGUUAAAUAAACAUUAGUACAUCACCAUGGAUAACGGUUCUCAAUCGUUACCCGACUCCAUUGUCUAUAAUCAAUGAACAGUCUCAAGAUCCAUUUUCUUCCUCACCAACAAACUGGGGCUCCUCAAAAGUGUUAUACUAGGUUGAAUAAAACUUUUAUCAACCAAUUCUCUCAACUGAAUUUCCAAUUCCCUUAACUCAUCAUGAACAAAUCUUUAACAUAAAUUUAUACCUGGCAACAAAUCAAUAAUGAACCUCAUAUCUCUGCCUGAAGACAAUCCAGGUAUACUUUCAGGGAAGACAUCAAGAAAAGUCUAACCCUUUCGACAUUAUUCACACUACUCCAAACAACAUCAUUUAGCACCACAUGAGCUAAUAUUUUUGACAGCCUUUCGAAAACAAUCUCUUUGCUCUCACAGCAUAAAUAACGGCCUGACUCAAUCCACUUUGCAUACUAACAAAAGUAAUCUCUGGUCAUCCAGAUCGAUGGAAAGUAACUGGUUUCCCGUAACAUUCCAUCUAGUCACAACUAUAAACAAUCACUCUAAUGGAAUAAAAUUAAUUGACCCAAUACAUACUUUAUUAUUACUGAACAUUCUAAGUAAGUACAACACUAACAUAAAAUAACCUACCGGUUUGCUUGCUUAACGAAUCCACGAAUGAGUUAUUAAUAUUACGGUCUGCAGCCCGCAAUACUGAUAAAUCAUCGUUGUCUCGAUAAGUAGGCAACCACUCUCAAAGAUAUAACAAUACUAUUUUGUCACUCAAUGCAAAAUACAUACACUCGUCUCAACUACAUUUAUUUACCACUCUCUAGGUAAUAUCAUACAUAAUAAGAAAUAUAUCAGCCGAAGUCAACUAGAAUGACCAAUACGGUUGAUUCAACUCUUAUCUCAAUAAUACGUCGGCCGGAUCCACUCCGCGUGGUCGGUACGGCCGAGCCUAUAACUCACCAAUUUCUCAUGUGUCAAUGAAUCCACUUCUCAUGGUCUGUACGGCUGAACAUAUAACUCAUCAAAUCUCUCUGUACUCACGGUCAAUCCGACCAAACUACUAAGUCCAUAACUCUGCUGAAUCGACACUAUGAUAUCAUGGAAAAUUGUUGAGUACAACUGAUUCUAGGGACGAUUCACAAUUAUGUGUCCCAUCUGUUCACAUAAACACAUUCAUUAAUUUCACAUUUCCCAAAGUGUUAAUUUUGUACCUGCUGCACAAGGUACAUUUCCUUUACUCGAGACACCUUGUCUCAAAUAUCUGGGAUUACCAGUAUAUCCAUCACUUUUAUUCUAACCAGCGACAUUAAAACCUCAGCUGGAAGAAUUAACUCUAGCUUCACUUCUUUCGAAGCUCUGAAUCUUUCUAUAUCCUUGAUAUGACGAAUCAUUAACUUUAUCGUCUUCUUUUAAUUCCCAUUCAUUUCUUAUUCUUCUUUAUUCUCGUUGCUCAUGUUCUCAGAGUCCUCAAGACUCAACAGCAUCUCGUAUAUUCCUGGUAAGAAGUAUAAUGGAUAAUGGUCACCCAAAAUACCACUUCCCUUUUGCCACCCAGCUUAAAACAACAUAACACCUCAACCAAAUUAACAACAAUAUCUGGAUAGAACGAGGCAAGUCUGAAAACUUUCUAUAAUAUCCCUCGAUCAUCACCUUCCUUGAUUCACAUUUGCAAACUCUUGCUUACUACCAUCGAUAAAUGCCGGAGGGAUAAACUUUUCCUUAAACAAGUCCUUAAACAAUUUUAAAUCGGCUGUUCCUCCGGUGACAACAAAUCAUACUCCUGUUUCCACCAGGAUACAAAUUCAUACCCAAAACCAGGUAGUCGUCUCGACCCCCUGUCAGAAGGAAGAUUCCUUUGACUUGCAUAAUCUGAAACAUCUUUUCCAAAUGGUUAAACCGUUACUUCGCUCCCUCAGGUUCAUCAUUUCAUAAGGUGAUUCAAAUUCAACUCAUAACCCAUCUUAAAUGUCCCUUUUUAUAAUAGACUGAAUCACCCUAAUAAUAGUUUUCCCUAAACCGCUAUAUUAGGGAGACUAAAUUCCUCUAACUACGUGGUUUGCUACGAGGCGGUGUAGUUCUGACAGAAUUCACUAUAAACUUCUCAAGAUGUCCAAGAUUGCAACCAUGCUCUGAUACCAACUGACACACCCCGUCCCGAAGGAGGGCAUGCUGGCCGUCACGUGAGAGUGACGUAACCAUUUGCACAGUACGGAAGCUUUAAUUAUACAAUUUAUAAGUUGAUACACCCGAAGGUGAGUCCUAAUUUUGUCCAAUCUGUCAGAACACCGUCGAAUUCCUCGUAGUCACCACACCUUUGUGAUUCCUGAACCUGGAGGGGCGCAAAACCAAAAUUGAGUGGGUCAGUAAAACAAUUCUUUUCCAAAUCCAAACAUUUUUCAAAACGUUGUAACCCCUCUCCGUAAAACCUGUAUAUUUUCCCAGAAAUGUAAAAUAUAAAUAUACAUAUAUAUUCUCAAGACUUCAAGUCGUUAACUCAACAUUUUCAUAACAAUUAUGCCAUGCCACAUCAUCUCAACAUUUCUCAUAUUAAUUAUGCCAUGCCACAUCAUCUCAACAGUAAUAAGGUAUGAAUGCAUCAACAUAAUCAUAUC
Molecule: long non-coding RNA, 7242 nt
Filed under: Malus domestica (apple)
Lineage: Eukaryota; Viridiplantae; Streptophyta; Magnoliopsida; Rosales; Rosaceae
Description: long non-coding RNA (MDOM_LNC001246)
Source: RNAcentral